GGGGCUGAACGGGGUACUGGUGUCCCCCACGGUCUUCAAAACCGCUUGAGAGGCGCGUGACGUCUCUGGUGGGUUCGAUUCCCACGCAGUCCC
Molecule: transfer RNA, 93 nt
Filed under: Bacillus methanolicus MGA3
Lineage: Bacteria; Bacillati; Bacillota; Bacilli; Caryophanales; Bacillaceae
Description: Selenocysteine transfer RNA
Rfam family: Selenocysteine transfer RNA
Source: Rfam by way of RNAcentral